AUCGUGGGUUGGCAGGGUGUUUUUUUACAGUCAUCGUUUGCACCCAUCGGCCACCCGUGAAAAUAUCUCCUCUCCCUUGCCUUCUCUCACGUGCUCUCCCCUCCCCUGAUCCCCUCCUUCCCUACCGUCAAGCCGCCGGCUCCACGCAGCGGCCGACGCGGCCUUCUCUCCCCGGCGCUUGAGGUACAGCAGCGGCUGCGGCACUUCUCGGCCCAGCCGGAUCCGGUGCAGGUCGCCGGCAUCACGCGCCGCGUGCCGUGAUUCUGGAUCGGGCGCAGAUCUUGCCACCUAUCCUCCUCUCUCUCUCCCAUGUCGACAUUGUUGCAAGGAGCAGGGGAGAUAGGUGCCGAGGACAAGAAGCAACGGGUUGGUCAGGGUGGGCUUGAGCUGCCGGGGAGAUGGAGGAGGCCGUCGUGGUUCGUCAUGGAGGCGGCGCCGCCGGCAAGCUAGUUGAGAAAACCAAAUCUGCACCAUGCCGCCUCACCCUCUCAGAUUACUGUUUCAUCCCUUUGAUAGUUUUUUAGCACAGAGGAAUGAGGAAUGGAUACAUGAGGCAUGGCGUAAGCGUAGGGGUCAGCCAGGGCACGACGCAAGAGUCUGCCCAUCUCCUCUCAAAGUUAGUUCUUGCUCUGUCCCCACUACCUCGCCUGCCAACUCUCUGAUAGAGUAUUUUAUUUCUGCAAUGUAUUAUAUUCUUUGAAGCAAUUGCAAAUUUUUCAUAGCUUCUUGGCAUACUAUGGAUUUAAUUCUUUGCGAGAACAAGCAAAAGAUAGUAGCAGUUUCUUUCAGAUACAAUUUCGGAAAGGUUUGCCGACUAAAUGUACAAAUAUGAGCAAAAGGGGCCAUGCUAAUUAAUGUUGGCCAGGCUCAGGAGUAAAGUUAUACAGAUUUUGAUUUGCAAGUUAUUUUGUCCAGCACGAAAGGCACUAAUGCGUCCCGAAAACCUAGCGCACAAAGGACCAAUCCUUCCCUUCCUCGAGCCCCAUUCGAGUCCGCGCUGUUCAGCAUCUCCAGCCUCCCCUGCUCCUCGACCCUCCGGCCCCACGGCCUCUCGCGCUGCCGCCUUCUUCCCUGGACGUCUUCCCCGACGCUCGUGGUGCAGCAGCGGCCAUUGCAGUAGCCGCUGGAACUGAUGGAUAUUGACAUGGGUAACAAAAUAGUUGAAAGAUUUUGUACCGACGAGGCUCUUGAGACUACAAACAUUUCUUCACUCCUUGUACGAAAGGAUUCUAGGACUAAGUUAUAGGAUUUUAUAUUUUAGUCGGAUAUUCCUUCUGUUAAUAUGUGCUCCUGUGCAAUUUUUCAUAGGCUUCUCUUUCCUUUUUCUGGUUACGAUUUACAAAGCUGAGCAAUAGUUUCUCUACUAAUAUAGCUUGUGUGAAAAACAUCCGUCUUUAGGAUGCUUUUGCGGCAUGUGUAACUGCCUCACAUUAGCCUAUGCUUCUAUCCGAGUUGUUUACUACUAAGACCAUAAUGGAUCAUGCUUUUUAACUGGCAUAUAAGUGUUGAUGGAAAAUGAUGUCUUAUUUUUUGCCUGGUAAAUUUUAAUCGGCGCAUGCAAUCCAUGCUUCCCAGUCUUUGGUGACAAUGUUGUCAGGCCUAAAAAUAGAAGUUUUCGAUUUCCUCUCUCUGGUUUUUAGUUGGUUAGAUGUUAAUGCGUGGAAAUGUAUAUGCUGAUUUUUUUUCCUGUUUUAAUAAAUUGCUAAUACGUGGAUCUUGUCUGCUUUGCAUGGACUAUAGUAUAUAUUCACAGACUUUGUCUGCUUGCUUCAAAACUAAAAUGUGACUUUUACUUGCCUAUUACCAAAGAAGAUUUCAUGCAUGCCACAUCAAGUCGCCACAGAUGCCUCCAAGUGAAAUUUCAGCGACGACAAGGUAUAUUUUCCCCAACACCUGAUCUUCUUUAAUCAGACCACCGUUCAUUAUUGCGUAUAGGCUUCUUACUCUGUGCCUGAAUAAGCGAUUGGUAUCCACAUGUUUGUUUCCAUGUGUUCUACUGUCUUUCUAGUACUUGAAGCAUAGUAUGUUCAUGUGUGCGACUACAGUUCCAGCGAGUUGGAAGUCCUGUUGUUCUCAAAGUUUGCAUCAUAUGCCCUUUAGAGAAAUCUUUAUUGAACAUUUUAAUUUUCCUCAUACAUGCUUAUCAUUUGGCAUCAUGUUAUUUUGUGACACAGUAACUGAAUAUGCACACAAGAGGAUCCCUCUGGAUGUGUAGGAGGUAUGAAGUAAUAGCCAUUUUUUUUCUCUGUGUAGAUUUGGCAUCAUAUUGCCCAGUAACUGAAUAUGCACGCAGGAGGAUCACUCUGGAUGAUGGAAAAUGCAUUAUCCGUGGUAAGAAGCUAACGGUGUCGCCCCAUUUAUACCACAUUUAGGCAUGAUAAUUAAAUUAGCCUUCAAAUUAAAUAGAUGUCCGCAUUCAUGGGUACAUAGAUGAGCUGAGCUACUAUUUUCUUGUUUGGGAAUGAGGUAACACUAUACAAACAGCAUGUUGACACUCUGAACAGCUUAAUACUAGACGGAAACAAAAUUUCUCUUCCUACUAUGUCUGUACCAUGAACAAGAUGUUCGCAACAAGUGGUCAACAAAUGGUAUUCUGUUCCUGUCCUUUCUCCUUUUUAUGAAUCUUCAUAGUUGCAUCUUAACCAUGCUUAAUAUCUAUUGCAGUACUUUUCCACUCACUUCACACAAGAAUAUCUCAAGGGGCACAUGCAUGAAGAGCAUACUAAUUUGCUGAUCAAAGCUGGAAACAGACCUGCCAUCGUCAUUGCUCGGCUUAUCAUACAAUCACAAGAAGCUGGACUCAGUUCUUUGACAUCGCAAAUAUGAAAGGAGGAGUGUCAUAUGCAUUUGUCUUUGAGGAAUUGGCGGGAGAACUCAUAUCAUCGUGCACUCCCUUUGAUAGCGUCAUGAGCAACCACUGCCAUCAUCUCAUAAUAUAGCUCAGGUUCAAGACCUAGGUCAUGCACUACUUUUCUCGACCAUAUAAUGUGCUCUGCGUCACCUUAUCCUUUCAGUUCCAGUACUUCAUAAUAUAGAGUAGAUGAAACAUCUUUUUAAAUUGGUGUGGAAAUACCAAUGCAGAUGGAGCUAUGUAAUCCAGCUUGCUUUCUAUCAUGAGUUGGUCUCAUGACUUUGUUUUUAGCCAUCUUGGUACCAUGCAAUGGAAUAUAUAACACUAUGUUUGAACAUCGUAUCUAAAUAUUAUCUAAACACUCUUGCUUGGUUCCC
Triticum urartu is the source of this 3228-nucleotide non-coding RNA. Lineage: Eukaryota; Viridiplantae; Streptophyta; Magnoliopsida; Poales; Poaceae. The record is from RefSeq and is a predicted model, not a curated record.